RNAcentral lists this ribosomal RNA (508 nucleotides) under uncultured bacterium. RNAcentral describes it as "bacterial SSU rRNA". It matches the Rfam family "Bacterial small subunit ribosomal RNA", at positions 791 to 1300 of the family's 1533-position model. The record is from RNAcentral.
UAGUCCACGCUGUAAACGAUGAUUACUAGUUGUUGGCGAUACACAGUCAGUGACCAAGCGAAAGUGAUAAGUAAUCCACCUGGGGAGUACGUUCGCAAAAAUGAAACUCAAAGGAAUUGACGGGGGCCCGCACAAGCGGUGGAGCAUGUGGUUUAAUUCGAUGAUACGCGAGGAACCUUACCAGGGCUUAAAUGUAGUUUGACCGAUUUGGAAACAGAUCUUCUUUUUAAGCAAAUUACAAGGUGCUGCAUGGUUGUCGUCAGCUCGUGCCGUGAGGUGUCGGGUUAAGUCCCUUAACGAGCGCAACCCCUAUCUCUAGUUGCCAGCGGAUAAUGCCGGGGACUCUAGAGAAACUGCCCGUGCAAACGGUGAGGAAGGUGGGGAUGACGUCAAAUCAUCACGGCCCUUACGUCCUGGGGCCACACACGUGCUACAAUGGUCGGGUACAGAGGGGCAGCUACCUAGUGAUAGGGAUGCGAAUCUCGAAAGCCGAUCUCAGUUCGGGAUU